Molecule: non-coding RNA, 27 nt
Filed under: Homo sapiens (human)
Lineage: Eukaryota; Metazoa; Chordata; Mammalia; Primates; Hominidae
Source: RNAcentral
UCUGUUGCCAUGGUGGGUAGUUGCUUC